This is a long non-coding RNA of Haliotis rubra (blacklip abalone), 232 nucleotides long. RefSeq lists it as uncharacterized. Lineage: Eukaryota; Metazoa; Mollusca; Gastropoda; Lepetellida; Haliotidae. The transcript has 3 exons. The record is from RefSeq and is a predicted model, not a curated record.
GAAGUGGACCUAAUGUACAGGUGGAGGGAGAUGGUUGUCUUGUUGUAUAGAGGUGGUCCUAUUGUAUAUGUGGAACAGAGAUGGUGGUCCUAUUGUAUAGAGAUGGUCCUAUUGUGUGUGUGGAACAGAGAUGGGUGGUCCUAUUGUAUAGGUGGAACAGAGAUGGGUGGUCCUAUUGUAUAGGUGGAACAGAGAUGGGUGGUCUUAUUCUAUAGAGAUGGUCCUAUUGCAU